RNAcentral lists this ribosomal RNA (253 nucleotides) under uncultured bacterium. RNAcentral's name for it is "partial 16S ribosomal RNA". It matches the Rfam family "Bacterial small subunit ribosomal RNA", at positions 524 to 776 of the family's 1533-position model. The record is from RNAcentral.
UACGUAGGUGGCAAGCGUUAUCCGGAAUUACUGGGCGUAAAGGGCUCGUAGGCGGCCAACUAAGUCAGACGUGAAAUCCCUCGGCUUAACCGGGGAACUGCGUCUGAUACUGGAUGGCUAGAGGUUGGGAGAGGGAUGCGGAAUUCCAGGUGUAGCGGUGAAAUGCGUAGAUAUCUGGAGGAACACCGGUGGCGAAGGCGGCAUCCUGGACCAACACUGACACUGAUGAGCGAAAGCCAGGGGAGCAAACGGG